This 340-nucleotide long non-coding RNA is filed under the name Homo sapiens (human). RNAcentral describes it as "HSALNT0016874". The record is from RNAcentral. Lineage: Eukaryota; Metazoa; Chordata; Mammalia; Primates; Hominidae.
CCAGGAAGGAUGUAUGUCUUUUAUAGAAAUCAGAACCAGCGCACAGUGGUGAAGUUGCUGUCUUCCCAAAGUGUCACAGGCACCAGCAUUGGAGGAGUGAGGAUUCUCAGGUUUCACAGACAAUCAGGCCCAAACUGUUUCUAGUCACUUCUCUACUGCCUUAGCCAAUCUAUUAAAAUGCCUGUGUGAUUCUGGAAAGAAAACAAGUGCCCAUGAAAAUGAGCAGGACUUAUAAACCCCAGUGACUAUAUUGCUGGGAGGACUGAGCUGACUUUCGAAAGUGAGAGUGGCAUGCAGUCCUUAACAUCUCUGGUCUUUAACAACUCCCAUGGAUACCCCU